Molecule: ribosomal RNA, 441 nt
Filed under: uncultured Prevotella sp.
Lineage: Bacteria; Pseudomonadati; Bacteroidota; Bacteroidia; Bacteroidales; Prevotellaceae
Description: bacterial SSU rRNA
Rfam family: Bacterial small subunit ribosomal RNA
Source: RNAcentral
UGAGGAAUAUUGGUCAAUGGGCGAGAGCCUGAACCAGCCAAGUAGCGUGCAGGACGACGGCCCUAUGGGUUGUAAACUGCUUUUGCGCGGGGAUAAAGUGCGCCACGCGUGGCUCAUUGCAGGUACCGCGCGAAUAAGGACCGGCUAAUUCCGUGCCAGCAGCCGCGGUAAUACGGAAGGUCCGGGCGUUAUCCGGAUUUAUUGGGUUUAAAGGGUGCGCAGGCGGCGUGCCAAGUCAGCGGUCAAAGUUCCGGGCUCAACCCGGUGAUGCCGUUGAAACUGGUGUGCUUGAGUGCGUGCGAGGGAGGCGGAAUGCGUUGUGUAGCGGUGAAAUGCAUAGAUAUGACGCAGAACUCCGAUUGCGAAGGCAGCUUUCCAGCACGCCACUGACGCUGAGGCACGAAAGCGUGGGGAUCGAACAGGAUUAGAUACCCUGGUAGU